AAGAUUAAGUUUACCAUUAGCUAUGCAGAAAGUCUCUAAGUGGCUCCUGCCUUGGAAUCAGGUGUUGGGUCUCACUGCCACUGAGAGCCCGGGGGUGCCCAAGUGCACAGCAUGAACCAGGCAGAACAUAUCCCUCAGACAAGCAGAACAGUGCAGAGAUGUCAGCAUCAGUCUGUGCCCAUGGUCAGGCUCAGGCUUCUGUAGUUAAUUGUUCAAACAACAGCAACAAAUCAAGCUGCUCUGAGGAUCUAUGUGCAUUCCUCCAUUAGACCUGAUUUGUAUGGUGAGGACAGGCUACUGAAAGGAAGAGAAGGGGCUGAAUUAUCCCCCGUGACUUUGCUAAAUUUGUCCUUGUGAAUGGAGAGGGAGUGAAAUAUUUGUCUGCAGGGGGGAGCGGAGUGGUAACUGUCAGGAACAGCUGGAACAUAUAUACUGUGUCAUGUCUUUUUGUGGCACUGGGCUGUUCUGCUUGCUGAGGGAAUGCUGCAGAGGCAUGUUAGCAUUCUGCUGAGUAAGUGUGGUGCGAGUUCCAUGUGUAAACAGGGAUCAGUCGCCAGAUGAGAGAAAAGGGCUGUUCUCCCAGGGCCAUGACUGCCUCUUGCAUGCACCUCAACCUUCACCAGGCCUGUGUGGUGAUGUAAAUUAAAUGUGGGGCUGGAUUCUCAGAAGAAUAUCUGCUUGUGGAAAUGUCAGUCUAGAUAACUCUGGUGUCUCUUCCUCCUUCAAUAUCUAUAAAUUUGUGAAUGAAAUAAAUUCUCCUGAUUUUUCCCAU
This is a long non-coding RNA of Corapipo altera (White-ruffed manakin), 772 nucleotides long. RefSeq lists it as uncharacterized. The transcript is spliced from 2 exons. NCBI's taxonomy places the organism in Eukaryota, Metazoa, Chordata, Aves, Passeriformes, Pipridae. The record is from RefSeq and is a predicted model, not a curated record.